Molecule: ribosomal RNA, 465 nt
Filed under: Vreelandella stevensii
Lineage: Bacteria; Pseudomonadati; Pseudomonadota; Gammaproteobacteria; Oceanospirillales; Halomonadaceae
Description: partial 16S ribosomal RNA
Rfam family: Bacterial small subunit ribosomal RNA
Source: RNAcentral
CCUACGGGGGGCAGCAGUGGGGAAUAUUGGACAAUGGGGGGAACCCUGAUCCAGCCAUGCCGCGUGUGUGAAGAAGGCCCUCGGGUUGUAAAGCACUUUCAGUGAGGAAGAACGCCUGGUGGUUAAUACCCAUCAGGAAAGACAUCACUCACAGAAGAAGCACCGGCUAACUCCGUGCCAGCAGCCGCGGUAAUACGGAGGGUGCGAGCGUUAAUCGGAAUUACUGGGCGUAAAGCGCGCGUAGGUGGCUUGAUAAGCCGGUUGUGAAAGCCCCGGGCUCAACCUGGGAACGGCAUCCGGAACUGUCAAGCUAGAGUGCAGGAGAGGAAGGUAGAAUUCCCGGUGUAGCGGUGAAAUGCGUAGGGAUCGGGAGGAAUACCAGUGGCGAAGGCGGCCUUCUGGACUGACACUGACACUGAGGUGCGAAAGCGUGGGUAGCAAACAGGAUUAGAUACCCUUGUAGUC